Salvelinus sp. IW2-2015 is the source of this 1754-nucleotide non-coding RNA. The record is from RefSeq and is a predicted model, not a curated record. Lineage: Eukaryota; Metazoa; Chordata; Actinopteri; Salmoniformes; Salmonidae.
UUGUAGGAUUGCUUUGUCAAUACAAAAAAAUGUCAGUACAAAAAAGCUGCAGCAUAGCACCACCUCUAACAACAACAAAGAAAUCAUCUAACUGAUACUUUUGAAACGUAAGAAAAUGUUUGAUCCUGAGCUAAAAAGCAACACAGACAGAUUUUUUUGGGAAACAUCAUACUGUACAACAAUAUUGUCCUAAGAUAUGUGUUGGUCAUAAAAUGUGCCCCUUUUAUUAAACAAAGCUGAGAUGUUUUAUGCAUUUUAUAAAGAACACUCAGUCAAAACAGACAAUAGAUGUAAUUAAAUUAAAUUACGCUAAGAAAUGUAAACAUUGCAAGCAAACAUUAGUAAAAAUAAAAAACCUACGUAACAGAUAUGGGUCCUUGUGGGGUAUUUCAGAAUGCAGGACUAAUUACUUUGUGAGCUAGAUAUUCAUAGUUUCUAUCAAGCCUGAUUUCUGAUUAAUAAAGGUAACUGGAUUUGAGCUUAUUUCAAGUUCAACAUCUCUUUCAACAAUACAUUCCGCAGAAUUUCAGACUGUGUAUACCGGAAUUAGCUUGAUAACUAAUUGAUCCCACUUCCCCAAAAUACUCCUCAGAUUUACUGACAACCAAAUGAAUGUCAUUGCUUCUUUUAACAGUUACCUCAGCUUUUUAUACAAAAUGAAAGAGGCAAACUUUAAAACUAUCCAGCUGUCACAAAUACCAGAAAGCAGUAUGCCAUAUUGUACCUGAGAUGAUACAUUUAGCUGAAAAUAAUAACAAAAGUUGGAUGGAUGCCUGAUAAUAACUUACAGAUACAAAACAAAAGAGGUAAUCAUUUUCAGUACAGCAACAGCACAGGGUUAAAUCAAAAGCAUAAUACUACAAGCUAUGAAAAGGGUCUUAAAAUAGUCAAAUAUAUGGGUUAACUAUUCACACUGUGACCAGCAGACUUAUCAGCAAAUACACUUAAAUCUACAGUGAUGUGCAGAAUCUGCAUGAUAAAUCUGGUAGCAUGGAAACCCAUCUUCUUUAACUGUUAUUGAUACCAUUCCUAUAUAUAGUAUUUCAAAACCUUAAUUUCACAAUCAAAGGAUGUGCAAAAAAUCGUUCAAAUUUAAAACUAAUUUGAGAACCUUUAUAUAGUCCGGAACUUCAAUUCAUACAAAUGUACAAUUACUAAUUUAUUAUGAACUAAAAAUAAUAAAGGCCAAAUAUUGAAAUCAAAUCUAAGCUUCAUUAGGUGAAAUUUUUGCCUGCCUUUUUUUCAUUUGAAGGCAUAGUCCAAAUGCCUUAAAAUGACCCAUUUUCAGCUUGUGUCGUAGGGUAUCAGGAUGUUACCAUUGAUGACAUGACAUUGGCCAUAUGUUGUACUGGACAAUUAGAUUACAUUACUGUGGGAUGUAGGUUUGUCUAUAGGCCCCUAAGAAGACUACAACAAUGCUAUAACACUUUUCACUGGGUACAAAUACUGAAGUAUGGAUGUGGAAAAUAUUAGAAUUACUGGUAACACAUUUCUUUCUUAUGUGGGCCAAUGAUUGAAAGCUGCAUAUGUCACAACAAUAUCAUUAGUCUAUUGACAAAAUAAGGUUUAAAUCUGUGUGACUUGACUUAAACAAUGGGAUUAUGGAAAGAAGUGUCUGAGUGUCGACUCCCAACMAAAAAAAGCAGAGGUAUGUAGUUUUCGGCCUUGGUGUCCAUGCGAGACCUGGAUAGACACACAGAAACUUGAAAUAUGACCAAUUACUCUGUAGCAAAUAACACACAGGUCAUUGAUUG